Long non-coding RNA from Nicotiana tabacum (common tobacco), 5650 nucleotides. RefSeq lists it as uncharacterized. NCBI's taxonomy places the organism in Eukaryota, Viridiplantae, Streptophyta, Magnoliopsida, Solanales, Solanaceae. The record is from RefSeq and is a predicted model, not a curated record.
CUGCUCCCAUCUAGUUGAUGGAGUGAUAGGUGAGUAUAAAGAAGGGUGGAGAAUUGUUUUUCCUUCUUUCUUUUAUAUACCACACUAAUAUUUAGUGAAGGAGGUAAAUUUUUUGAGUGUUUGUUGAAUUCAAAGUCCAGGACCAAUUUUGUCUUCGCUUUUUUCACUCUUCUAUGCAGUUCUGCAUGUUUUGAUUUUACGGUCUUGAACCUUACCAGUCUGUUUGUUCACCUUCUUGUUGAUUUGUCAUCCUAUUGGUCUUUCUAAUAAAAUGCCAAAAUUGUCUAAAAUAUAUAUAGCUGCAAAUUAUUAUGAUAAGAAAUUAAUACCUGUAAAUAUUUAAUUGGUAAAGUAAAAAAAAUAUCUAUAUAGCCCGUAUGAUUUUUUGGUGAUCCAGAACACCGUGGAGCAGAUAGCAAGCUUUCUCUAGAAUUUUUCUUCAUUUCUUUGCAUGUGAUGUUGGAUAGUAUCAAUGCAACACAUUUUACAGCACCGUCAAUUCUUCUAACCUUUUUCAUAUUUUUUGACCUGUUGAUGUCAAAGGAACCAGGGGGACACCAAAUGGUAGUAAGAUGACUGCAGUUCCAAAUAAUGACUAUGAGAGUGGUUUUUAAAAAGGAAGAAGAUAAUAAAAGAGGUUUAGAAAGAUGAGAUUGCAAAUGCAAGAUUGCUCAUUACUUCUGUCCUUUCUUUCUUUUCAGUCACUAUGCGUUUUUUACUUAAGAAGUCUUUUUCAUCUUCCUUUUGUGCUUAUGAUAGAGCUUGCAAAGCUCUGUUAGACCAUAGAGCAGAGAUCUUAUCAUGGGGUAUCAGGUCAGAUAGAGAUGCGAACAAAAGCUUGCCGGCUAGUUUAGGGAUUUCUAAUUUCAUCAGGUUGCCCAAUUGUUAAUCCAAUUAAUUUGUUGAUGAGGAACAUAAUUUUGCAUGUAUCUGAGGAUUCAUAUGUAUUGUUCCAUUAGUGACUUCCUGAUGUGUAGAAUUCUUUAUAGUGACACAACGAACAGAUCUUUUCUUUCUUUGACUUGCUUCUUUUAAAUAAUGUUAUGUCUUAUCAGUUACUGGCAUUCAUAUUCUUUAAUUGGUAUCAAAGUCGCAUUGGCAGAUAAUAGAUAAUUUAAGGGUGAAAGGAGGUUUCCUAGUUCUUUCACCAUGAGCUAGCCUAGGCAACUUGGGUGAUGUUAUGCAAUAGUUGGACUUGAUAUGAAAUAAAGUAAACAUUAUGUGGUAAUGAAAGUAUUCAGUUACCCAAAAACAAAAAAAGUAAACCUGUUAUGUUGGAGGAUUGUUAGGUAUAUCUUGUGCAGAUAUCUGACAAGUCUGUGACAAUUUUUUGUUGAAUUGGGAAUAAAUGUUUUAAUCUUCCAACUCAAACAAAUGUUAUUAUUAAAGCUCUUGGAAUUAGAUAUAUAUAGUUCAUUGUGGCACUCAUAGCCUCUCUACUCCUCCGGAGUAGGGGUAAGGUAUGUGUACACACUACACUCCCCAGACCCCAAUUGUGGGAUUCCACUGGGUUGUUAUUGUUGUUAUUGUUGUAUUGUGGCACUCAUACACCUAAUCAUUUGACUGUAUAUACAAAUGGUAAUUAUAGGAGGAACUCUACUAUGUUUAUCUUUUCUUUGACCAAAAUGGAAAAAGAAAAUGCAUGUUGCCAUUGACUCCCUUGUUGUGUGUGAGAAGGAGAUCAAAUCAUUUAUAUUUUGCCGAGAACAUGCAAAUUAACUUGUUUGCAACUGUUUCUAUGCAUGAAGUUGGCCUUAGUUGCUCAUGUGGUAGUUCUCUUUUUUGUUUGGGAAGGCAAGCUUGGCCCAAAGGAUGGAGGGAGUGGGAUUUGAUAUCAAGACCUAUAGGUGUUUUUCUUUUUGAUAACCGUGGUGUCUGGGCCAGCUUGCGCGCACCUCGACUAAUUCUACCGGAUACCUGCUACCUCCCACCGGCAACAGGUACCAAGUAACUCUGUCUACCAAAGCUUGGACAGAUGGGAAAUCACCUUGUAGACUAGUAGUUUUGCCUCCGCCGGGAUUCAAACCUGAGACCUCAUGGUUCUCAAUUCACUUCAUUGACCACUAGGCCACACCCUUAUGUGCUAUCAAGACCUAUGGGUUUAAUUUGAUUAUCUAGCCAACUUCGCAGGGUCUAGGAAAAAAAGUUGUGCAGUGCAGGAGUUUGUAAGUCAACGUGGCAGCAAAUUUUCCUUGGUUUCUAGAGCUCUAUCUAUGGGAAACGAGACUGGUAGUAUCUUUAGUUCAACAUUUCUUAGCUUAUUUUGGCAUUAGGUGAGGAAUGAACCAACGAGUGGUAGUUGGUAGUCUAGCAGUUCCUUGAAAAAAACUUUGACUUGUCCUCGCUGUUAUAAACUUAGGGAUCUCUCACUUCCCUCUCCCCUUUAGUUGUACUUGCACAAACAAAACACACACACUAGAAGUCCAUGAGAAGCAUACCUCUAUGAUCAAAGUUAAGAAAGACACUAGAUUGGGAUGGUUUAUAUUAGAUGCUAAAAGAUCAGAUUAUGCUUUCACAGAUAUUCGUUCCAAAGUUUCUCUUGAACUUCCCUCUUUCAUACUCCAGGAAUGGUUGGUGCAAGUUACGGUGUUUAGACAUGGUCUUGCUUCUCUAAUAUGUUGAGAUUGAGUGGAACCUUGAGACUAGUAGCUACAUGAAAAGAAUAUAAGUUUCCUCUGAAUAUGGGGAACAUGUCUUAGACUUAAGAUAAAGCACAAAUGAUGAUAUGCUGUUUCUUUAAAAAGCGUGCUAAGUAAUGGCUUCUGAGGAUGUACAUUGAUCGAAUAUAAUAACUAAGGGGUGAAUUAUUGCGAGAGCAUGAUCAAACUCAAUCCCUUCCACAAACAAAAGCGUGGUAUUUAAGUGGGGACGGUAGAGGAGCGGCCCAUUAUCACCCAAGUUUCAUACCGUGCACUUCUGGUGAUUAUAAAAAAAGGAUCAAAUUCAAACCCCCUCUCACCGAGAAAAAAAAUGCAGAAGCUGGGUGUUCUUUAAUUGUUACAUGGUGGGAGCUGCUCAGUCUUCACAAGGGACACAUAAAGGACAGUUGAAUUUCAUCUUCCAAUAAAACAAGCAUCUUUGUAUUCAAGUCAAAUGAAGACAGAAAGGUGCUUCAAUGUGCAGAAACCUAUCUCUCAGGUAUUCACCUACAGCUUUGGUCAACUACUGUAAUGGUGAAAAGAUAUUCUAGACCAUUAUUUGUUUUUUGAGCUGGUUAUGAUCACUUAAAUGUGCACUUAAUCUCCACCAGAAAGAUUUAGCCUCCUGAAAGUAACUUAGCAAAAAGUCAAUGUUAGAAAUGACCAAUACAAACAUGGCAUGCUCUACUAAUAAUUGGGCCAGUUAUGUCCAGAAUUUCAUCUACUUGUAGUUUUUGCUUUACAUUAACAAGGCACAGACCAGUAAACCUAUCCCUGAAUUAUAGCUUUACUUGCUAUAAAAAUUUUCAUGCUUUCUGAUAAAUUGUUCUGUCUGAUACAUUAAAUUGCUCCUUUUUAUUGAUUCUAGUGACUACGGCAUCUUAAAAUGACCCUGAGAUAAUGUAACUCGAUAGUAUUUGUCUCCUAUCUCUGUGUAUUAUCGUUUUGGUAUGUCACUAAAGGAUUUCUAGUCUGUGUAGAGAAAAAAGCCUAGAGGCAGUCUUUCUAUGAGAACCAUCAACUAUUUGAAAUCAGUGCCUUGUUUCUCAUAUUUUACAUCAAAAUGUAUUCCUCCAAUUCCCAAACUUCAGUAUCCUAAUUCCUUCCUUUCAUAGGCGACAAACUAGGAGAAUGAUAUAGUGAAACAUGAAAGAUUUAAAAUAGUAGAGGUAAGGCUUACUUUACUGAAUGGAGACUCAUAGUGAGAUAAUGAGGCAUUAAACUAACUACAGGAUUCCAAAGAGACUCACAUUUUAAGCAGCUUUAUAUGGUACUAGCAUCUGUCGCGUAUCGCUCCAUGUGGAUAUGGCUUUUUUGUCCCCGUGUUUGAUCUUCAAUUGUCAAUUUUACUUGAGCAUAGUGAACUCUAGAUAAAACUCACUGUGCAUCAUGCGGUUGAAAGAAACAACAUAAUAAAGUGUGCAGGAGAAAUCUAAUACUCAGCCAUAAUUAUCUAUUUGACCAAUGAUGUGAAAAGUUUUGUCAUUCUUUCAUUUUUGAAAGAGCAUUAUUUUUUGGAAAAGCAUUUUUUGAAAGAGCAUUUUAUCUUCCAUAGCUUUCCUUAUCGUUAAUGCAGUGUGUCAAUGCCUGAUUUUCGUCUAAAGCAAUUAGAGAAAUAUUAUCACAAGGGCAAAACUACAAAAAAAGGUUAUAUGUCUAUACUUAUAAACACUUUCUAAAAUGAAGCAUGUAAUAACAUCUAAAGCUCUGUAGUGAACUAUAAAGUUGGGGCAGCUGCGAGGAAGACUGACCCAAUUGUCAGUCAACCAGUGAAACUGGCAUAACCAGCUUUUAACUUGCACCUGGUUGUUCUUAUGCCGGAUCUGGUUGUUCAGGUUUGAUCUUCUUUCGUGCAUCAAACCUUUGCGUGUCUUGUGUGUUUACGUGUUUUAAACUGCCCUUCAAACUCAUGUAAAAUUGCACUUGUAGUUAGAGGUUCCAAUCUGAAAUAAGCUAUGGAUUAAUCUCACCUUUUGGAGCAUCUGAGUUUUGUAUAUCCUGUAUUUUGCUAUGUUCUUUCGCAUGGUUUUCAGUGACCUAACACUUUUGGCUCAUUCUUUUAGAUGUCUAUUAUCUGCAGGCACAGAAACCUAUUUUUUCAGUCAUUUGCUUUGUUAAUACAUUAAGACCUUUUCCAAAUUGACACAGAAGUGUAUCGUCCUAUAGUAACUAUUGACUCUUUUUAGAAAACAUUCAUUGAUUUAUUAAGGCAUAUAGUCAAGUUUUAGAUGCUAAUUCCUCUUGGGCUUCCAUUACUUUGGAGAAAAUGAUACUCAUACCAGAGCAGUGAGGCUCCCAAGUACACGAUUGGUUAGGUGUGUCCUUGUCACUGUGGAAAACUGGUACUUUCUGUAGUUGAUCAAGAAAUGUAUCAGGUGGAGGGCUUGGGCUUCCAUUCCACUGCAAAGAAGUGUAUCAAAUGGAUUUUAAUUGUUUUACAGUUUAACUAGGACAUCGUUUAAGUACAGUUUGCAUCAUUGUCUGUUAUUUUUUCAUUACUUCAAAUGCUGAAUUUUACUUGGACUUCCAUUCCUCUGCAAAGAAAUGUAUCAAGUGAAGUUUAGUGUUUUAGACCUACAUUUCGUCCAGGUUUUACUUAUCAUCUAUUCUCUUAUUUUUCGUAAGUUCAGAUGCUAAAUUUCCCUUGGUCGUCCAUUCCUCUGCAAAGAAGUGUAAGUUGUCUAGACUUCAUUCCAUCUUUGUUCAAGUUAUCCUUUUCACCAUUUUCUUUUACUUUUUUUCAUUGCCUGUCUUUGUUUUUGGUGUUUUUAUCUGUGAAUCAGGAUUGUCUUUUAAAGCUACUAGUUGAUUGGAGUUUCCCACACUAGCUUUGUUUUCCCUUUUAUUUAUUUUUAUUAUUGUCUGUGUGUGUUGUGGUGUUUAUAAACUUAACUUGAUCCUGUACUCAUGAGGGGGAAAAUAACGCCGUAUACCCUCCUUAACUAUGCCUCAACUAUGAAAAUUACACUGCAUACCUGUAAAUAAAUUACAUAGCAUAUCUUGAUAGACAA